UUUUCGAAAAUUCUUCUAACAUGAAAGUAGAGAGAGACAAGUGGAAAUAAACAUGAAAGAGUUAUAGCAACUUCAUAUUAAGGGUAAACCUCAAUUAGAGACCUUAAACCCAGUAUGAGAGUAAUCUUAUAGUCAUUGAAACCAGCUGUAGAAAAUAGCAUACCUCAUUUAUCUUCCCGCCUCUCUUUUCCAUUGAUCACCAUCAUCAUCAACGUGCUAUGAAGUUUGGACACAGACAGGUGCAGGUUUCACACGACCUGACACACGGCUUGCGACAUGGCCAUGUGACCUUAAUUCGAAUAUCCACACGGGCGAACACACAGGUUGGGACAUGGCCAUGUGUCUGUAUUUCAAACGACCACACAUGGAUAUUAUGUUAGGACUUCAGUAAUCUAUGAUAGUAGAACUUUGGAAGGUAAUCAGCAAACAUAGGAUCAGGUGGCAUGCGGGAUGUAACACUCCAAAACUAGCCUAGACGUUAUGGCUGAAUCUGGGAGUGCUAUGAAGAAAAGUAUUCAAAACAAUCUUGUUAUGUUAAAAUGACUAAAAUGGAAUCCACAUUUUAUCAAACAUAUUAUUAUUAUCGUUAAGGAAAA
Long non-coding RNA from Gossypium raimondii (Peruvian cotton), 596 nucleotides. RefSeq lists it as uncharacterized. The record is from RefSeq and is a predicted model, not a curated record. The transcript has 3 exons. Lineage: Eukaryota; Viridiplantae; Streptophyta; Magnoliopsida; Malvales; Malvaceae.